Pelobates cultripes (western spadefoot toad) is the source of this 222-nucleotide non-coding RNA. The record is from the annotation of a GenBank genome assembly. Lineage: Eukaryota; Metazoa; Chordata; Amphibia; Anura; Pelobatidae.
AUUCGUUUUUGUUUUAAUUUCUGAGAAACAUUUAAAGGACCACUAUAGGCACCCAGACCCCUUCAGCUUAAUGAAGUGGUCUGGGUGCUAGGUCCAUCUAGGAUUAACCCUGCCUCCUGUUAUCUGCUAUGAUUACUUUAGUGUUAAUCCAGCCUCUGGUGGCUGUCUCAUUGAUUUUCAUGCCGCGCAUGCGUAUUCAGCCGAUGACGACCGAAGGAGGAG